AAAAAUCUGUUCACAUUUAGCCUCCCAAUCUUGAUACACAUUAGGAUCACUAUCCCCAUUGAAACUAGGAAUUUUCACCGAAGGUAGCUUGGCCUUUGCAUCACGGUAGUAGCCAUCUUCAUGUUUAUCUUCAUGAGCAUAAGGUGGUCUAUAUCCAUGAAAGUUGGGUUGAGGUCUCCUUCUUCUAUGUUCUUCUUCACGUCCAUGAUCAUUGGAAGAGCCUCUUGAUGAAGGUCUAUGAGAAUGCCGUGAACCAUGGUGAGAAUGAG
This 269-nucleotide long non-coding RNA is filed under the name Phaseolus vulgaris (common bean). Its description in RNAcentral is "long non-coding RNA (PVUL_LNC000393)". Lineage: Eukaryota; Viridiplantae; Streptophyta; Magnoliopsida; Fabales; Fabaceae. The record is from RNAcentral.